Molecule: ribosomal RNA, 1287 nt
Filed under: Asymphylodora markewitschi
Lineage: Eukaryota; Metazoa; Platyhelminthes; Trematoda; Plagiorchiida; Lissorchiidae
Description: partial large subunit ribosomal RNA
Rfam family: Eukaryotic large subunit ribosomal RNA
Source: RNAcentral
UAACAAGGAAUCCCUUAGUAACGGCGAGUGAACCGGGAAAAGCCCAGCACCGAAGCUUGUGGUCGUUUGAUCACUAAGCAAUGUGGUGUUCAGGUCAUAUCGCGGGAACACUGCUCCACUCCAAGUCCAGCAAUGAGUACGGUAUUUUGGACAUGGCCCAUAGAGGGUGAAAGGCCCGUGGGGGUGGAGGUCAGGCAUGUCAGUGUUUCCCUGAACAGACCUUGGAGUCGGGUUGUUUGUGAAUGCAGCCCAAAGUGGGUGGUAAACUCCAUCCAAGGCUAAAUACAUGCACGAGUCCGAUAGCGAACAAGUACCGUGAGGGAAAGUUGAAAAGUACUUUGAAGAGAGAGUAAACAGUGCGUGAAACCGCUCAGAGGUAAACGGGUGGAGUUGAACUGCAAGCUCUGGGGAUUCAGCUGGUGAGUGUGGUAAUGGGCUUGGUCAUAUUGGUUGGACUCUGGGGUCUGCUUAGCUGCAGGUCUUUGCCUUCUGGUGAGGAUGCGCGAUGCACUUGUCAAGUGUUGUGCGCCCUUGUUGUUCUUCGGACCAGCUUGCCAGUGCACUUUCUCAGAGUGGUCACCACGACCGGCUCGGCUGCCUGGCUGUCGCGGUCAAACCGUUGCGGCAUGGCCUUUGGGCUUUGUUCGUGCGGGAUGGCAGGUGACUCGGUGACUUGCUGGCUUUUGUCAGCGUUUGGUUGCCGGGUGUAAUCCGCUGACUGUGACGGUUCUGUGCAGUGUGUCGGAGACGGCGGCUUGUGACGUGUGUGCGCGUGCUGAUUGUUGGCUAGACCGAGUUUGGUUGCUAUGUUGCCUGUCUAGGCAGGCCUGGCGAUAGCUUGGUUUGGUUCGACGAUUGGGAGCGUGUGAUGCGUUAUUAAGGGCCAACAGUCUGUGGUGUAGUGGUAGACGAUCCACCUGACCCGUCUUGAAACACGGACCAAGGAGAUUAACAUGUGCGCGAGUCAUUGGGCGUAACGAAACCCACAGGCGCAGUGAAAGUAAAGGUUUGGCUUGUCCAGACUGAGGUGAGAUCUUGUCGUUUCUCUUGCAUGGUGCCACCAAGCAUCGAGCGGCGAGCGCAUCACCGGCCCGUCCCAUGACGUAGACACGGUCUUCUGACUGCUGCACCGUCGGGGCGGAGCAUGAGCGCACAUGUUGAGACCCGAAAGAUGGUGAACUAUGCUUGCGCAGGUUGAAGCCAGAGGAAACUCUGGUGGAGGACCGCAGCGAUUCUGACGUGCAAAUCGAUCGUCAAACGUGAGUAUAGGGCGAAAGACUAAUCGAA